This 352-nucleotide unclassified non-coding RNA is filed under the name soil metagenome. RNAcentral's name for it is "partial contains 5.8S ribosomal RNA, internal transcribed spacer 2, and large subunit ribosomal RNA". The stretch from base 1 to 120 matches the Rfam family "5.8S ribosomal RNA", at positions 35 to 154 of the family's 154-position model. The record is from RNAcentral.
GAUGAAGAACGCAGCGAAAUGCGAUAAGUAAUGUGAAUUGCAGAAUUCAGUGAAUCAUCGAAUCUUUGAACGCACAUUGCGCCCGCCAGUAUUCUGGCGGGCAUGCCUGUUCGAGCGUCAUUACAACCCUCAGGCCCCCGGGCCUGGCGUUGGGGAUCGGCGGAGCCCCCCGUGGGCACACGCCGUCCCCCAAAUGCAGUGGCGGUCCCGCCGCAGCUUCCAUCGCGUAGUAGCUAACACCUCGCGACUGGAGAGCGGCGCGGCCACGCCGUAAAACACCCAACUCUUCUGAAGUUGACCUCGAAUCAGGUAGGAAUACCCGGUGAACUUAAGCAUAUCAAUAAGCGGAGGA